GUCUUAAGAUCUUUGCUACUGUUGUGUGGCACUGCACACAGCUCUAAGCAAAGGAGGAAUCCCUCAUCAAAAGACCAGUGGUGCCAAAGAAACUGUCUCAUCCUGGGAUUGCAAAAGUCAGUGUGGCCAGAUGGGAGUCAGAGGCAAUGCUUUCAAGCCAGCUGCUAGGCCUACCUGGGAGGCAGGUGUCUGGUUACAGGCCCUGUCAGUCACUGCACCGCUCUCUUUGUGCCGUUGCCUCAAAGGGAAGCCUUCAUGUUGAACUCACCACAUCAAACACAACAGACAGCUAGAACAUAUCCGGAGCUGUCGCACUGGGCGAACACAAGCCGGAUCACCUCCUCACGUACUGUCACAACGUCCUGUGUAUUCACUCACCACAAUCACGACUGCACGCACCCGAGACGGGUGACCGUAUUCUUGUUUCUUUUGUUCAGGACUGUAUCCUGUGUUUUGUCAGCCCGAGCUUUACACAUCGUUGUGUAUUGCCGGGCUUAUUAUUUUGAGCACUAGACCAGUGCUGGCAAAUAAAGCCUAUUUUUCCACUGGACUACCGUUGUCUGCUCAUUACUCCUGCACCGCAUCACUGCUACACAGCUACCCCU
Acipenser ruthenus (sterlet) is the source of this 605-nucleotide long non-coding RNA. RefSeq lists it as uncharacterized. The transcript is spliced from 3 exons. NCBI's taxonomy places the organism in Eukaryota, Metazoa, Chordata, Actinopteri, Acipenseriformes, Acipenseridae. The record is from RefSeq and is a predicted model, not a curated record.